This 217-nucleotide ribosomal RNA is filed under the name uncultured eukaryote. RNAcentral's name for it is "partial 18S ribosomal RNA". It matches the Rfam family "Eukaryotic small subunit ribosomal RNA", at positions 1299 to 1458 of the family's 1831-position model. The record is from RNAcentral.
UGGUGGAGUGAUUUGUCUGGUUAAUUCCGAUAACGAACGAGACCUCAGCUUGUUAACUAGUGGUAGUAAGCUUCUAUAUGGGUGAAGCCGGAUCUUAUCGUAGGGCUCGGGAAACCGAGACCCUGCGGUUGUCCGGUGGAUCCUUGAUGUCUUGCUGCUGACAUAAAACUUCUUAAGGGACUGUUCACGUUUAGUGAAUGGAAGUGAGGCAAUAACA